UGCAGCCGAGCGGUAGAGUUUCUUCGGAACUUGAGAGCGGCGUACGGGUGCGGAACACGUGUGCAACCUGCCUUUAUCAGGGGGAUAGCCUUUCGAAAGGAAGAUUAAUACCCCAUAAUAUUUAGAAUGGCAUCAUUUUAAAUUGAAAACUCCGGUGGAUAGAGAUGGGCACGCGCAAGAUUAGAUAGUUGGUGAGGUAACGGCUCACCAAGUCUACGAUCUUUAGGGGGCCUGAGAGGGUGAUCCCCCACACUGGUACUGAGACACGGACCAGACUCCUACGGGAGGCAGCAGUGAGGAAUAUUGGACAAUGGGUGAGAGCCUGAUCCAGCCAUCCCGCGUGAAGGAUGACGGCCCUAUGGGUUGUAAACUUCUUUUGUAUAGGGAUAAACCUACUCUCGUGAGAGUAGCUGAAGGUACUAUACGAAUAAGCACCGGCUAACUCCGUGCCAGCAGCCGCGGUAAUACGGAGGGUGCAAGCGUUAUCCGGAUUUAUUGGGUUUAAAGGGUCCGUAGGCUGAUCUGUAAGUCAGUGGUGAAAUCUCACAGCUUAACUGUGAAACUGCCAUUGAUACUGCAGGUCUUGAGUGUUAUUGAAGUAGCUGGAAUAAGUAGUGUAGCGGUGAAAUGCAUAGAUAUUACUUAGAACACCAAUUGCGAAGGCAGGUUACUAAGCAACAACUGACGCUGAUGGACGAAAGCGUGGGGAGCGAACAGGAUUAAAUACCCUGGUAGUCCACGCCGUAAACGAUGCUAACUCGUUUUGGGUUUUUAAAAAUUCAAAAA
This 786-nucleotide ribosomal RNA is filed under the name Chryseobacterium electrogenes. Its description in RNAcentral is "bacterial SSU rRNA". It matches the Rfam family "Bacterial small subunit ribosomal RNA", at positions 56 to 846 of the family's 1533-position model. The record is from RNAcentral. Lineage: Bacteria; Pseudomonadati; Bacteroidota; Flavobacteriia; Flavobacteriales; Weeksellaceae.